RNAcentral lists this transfer RNA (74 nucleotides) under Listeria monocytogenes. RNAcentral's name for it is "tRNA-Arg". It matches the Rfam family "tRNA". From Rfam's summary of the family: Transfer RNA (tRNA) molecules are approximately 80 nucleotides in length. Their secondary structure includes four short double-helical elements and three loops (D, anti-codon, and T loops). The record is from RNAcentral. Lineage: Bacteria; Bacillati; Bacillota; Bacilli; Caryophanales; Listeriaceae.
GCGCCCAUAGCUCAACUGGAUAGAGUACUUGACUACGAAUCAAGCGGUUAGAGGUUCGACUUCUCUUGGGCGCA